This 41428-nucleotide long non-coding RNA is filed under the name Oryza brachyantha (malo sina). RNAcentral's name for it is "long non-coding RNA (OBRA_LNC000701)". Lineage: Eukaryota; Viridiplantae; Streptophyta; Magnoliopsida; Poales; Poaceae. The record is from RNAcentral.
CCUUGUGUUCUGCGAGUCUCUCUCUCACGUGCCAAACUCAGUGAUCUGGGAUCACAUGCAUGCAAAGAAAAUGGGUCGAAUCUUCUCAGGUGAUUUGGCGAUCCAAAGGCCGGGAGCAAAACUGAUCGGGGCAGUUAAAUUAGGGCCUCGUUUUCUUCGAGUGUGUUUAGGUAGUUGUUGCUUGGUCACAUAUCCGUGGGAUUAGCCCCAUGCAUGUUCCAUUGGAAAUCGAUGUUUGGCAGAUCGGUUUUUAUAUACCAGUUCUGAAUUCGUCUCCCGAGAAAGAACAAAAGGAGUGCUUUAUAAUAUGUCAUGUGCUACCUUGAGUUUUUGAGUUGACAUCGUCUUCAAUCCAAAUAAACGACGGAUAGUUUCGCUUGAAUCGAGCCAGAAAGUGCGUGAUUUUCCGUGGUAUUAAUGCGCACGCCCACGUGAACAACUCACGUCAGUAGAGAGUAGAGACAGGGUGCAUCAUAUACUGCUUCUCUCUCAAACUCAAAGUCGCAACACAUGGCUGGCAAACUAGUAGAACGAGACAAGUCAUAACGACUCAGCUUAAUACUAUAGCUACCGAAAGCUAGUUGCAAGAUCAAGCGUAUGUUCAGUUCAGUUUGUUACCAAAAUCAAACAUUCUAAAUAUUGGCCGUAGCAAAAUUUUGGUAGGCAACAGACUAAAUUAAGGAUGACGAAGACUCAGAAUCCCGACUCGCUAAAAGCAGAACGAAUUUUUUGAAGAUAAGACAAUUCUGACGGUCCGUGAGCAAGAUCUCCCAUGUGAAGAUUCGACUGGAUCACUGGAUGGACACCUAGCCAGUGCUACCUGAUUACGUUUGAGUAGAUAUGAGAGCGUUUUUGUACAUGCUGCAGCCGUAGAGGAAGAAUACUUUGGUUUAGUACUGACGACCCCGUGGUCCGUGCAUGAUCUCAAUAUAGCCAACACGCGUGCAUGUGUUCCACCAGUUUUUCGCCCUCGCGGACAUGCCGCAGUUGGACUCUGUACCAAAAGAGACGGACACCCAUGGCCGCGCGAUAGGCCGGACGAGGCAGCAUGAGGAACGAGCUAGGUAGGCUGGGCCGCUGGGGUUUUAGGGCUCGGGCAUCUGUACCGCGCAGCGUCCGACCGAUCGAGGCGACGACGCUCGCAGCAGCCUCCUCGUCGUCGCCCCGCCCCGCCCCACCGCACACUCUAACUGACACGCACGGCACCGGCACGGCAGCCGACGAGGCGGUACGCGCGUACGGGCGGCGUACCUGCCGCCGCUGCCGAGGCCGUAUGGAAUUUCGCUCCUUUUCGCCCUGUGCGCAACGGGCGCCACGCACCUGGAUUUCCCACCUUUCGCGGCUCCCGAGUCGACGACGCCGCAGUCGCAGCCCGCAAGCUGCCGCGCGGAAACCCACGGAAACCGAAAGAUAUAUGGCGGUGCGCGCCCGAGCCGAGCCGAGCCGCUCGGUCUCUUCUCUUCAACGAGCACGGAGCACCGCGCGCGUUUCGGGGUAAAACUACCAUCGCAUUUGUUACCACUUGUAGAGGUCGUCAAAGGAGUACUAUUAAUAAUAGCUAUAGUAAGCUAGAGGGAAGUCCCAGAAAAUUCAUGGCACGAGUCCUCUCUGUACUCCAUUUUUUUUUGCUUCCGUGUUGUACGCUAGUGGUACAACACUACUACUACAACGCAUGCGUAGAGGCAGCGGUUUAUCUCCCUCGGGAGACGUGCCACGUCGCAAUGUCGAUCACCCGGCGACGACGGUACGUCGUACUUCACCUCAUUUGUCCUCUUGCAUAGUAGAGAUUUCUUUGGAGCCACCUCGCCUUUCUUUUACGUGGUGGCUGUCGUCUGCGUCUGCGGAUUCCGAAGUGGAGAGCUAGAGGCCGGCCGGUCGCGGCGUGGUUGCGCCGUGACAAAUUUACAAGUUUUCUCUAGGGUGCGGCCGCGGCUGCGGCCGAGUGUUUUGGAGAUGUGUUCACGAUCGACUGCUCGCCUUGAUGGAUUUGAUUGAUAGAUGGAUGGAUGCAUAGAUAGAUAGAUAUCUCUGCAACUUGGGGUUUGGGUUCCCGAGGCUGCAGCUUGCUAACAGUUACCAGUAGUACUCCAUUUCAUCCCAAAAUAUUUUAAGAUACAAAAUAUUUAAUUAUUUGUCUUAUUUUAAAAAUUAUAAUUAAUAUUUUAUUGUUAUUAGAUGACAGAGUAUUUUACACGUGACUAGUUGUUUUUAUUUAUUUAAUAAAAUUUUUAAAUAAAACAAAUAGUCAUGACACAGAAAUUAACCCAAAAAUAAAGUCUUUUUUAACAGACGCGCUAUAAUCAGAGCACCCUGCAUGUGCGGACAUGUCAAAUGCUGCUGGGGGCAACCAUAAUAGUGUCGAAUAAAAGUACUACUACCAGUACGUAAUAAGCACUUAAUAUAACAUUAUAGCCAGGUAAGAAGCUUGUGGGUACAGACGACAAAUACUACCGGUCUUUGGUCUAUUACCGGCAAGAAGAAAAUAAAGAACAUUAUUUUAUAUACAUAUGUGAAUCUUUUUUACCGGAUUUGUCUAUAAAAGAUUGUUGAUCAACAAUAUUUAUUUAAGGUAAACUCCACCUUAAUUUCUAGAGUAGUCAUAGUACAUUGUGGGUUUUCUAAUAACUACUAUCACCUGAAUCCCUGGCCCACGUUAAUUCUCAUUUUGGCGGGAUACAUUGCAGAUGCUUUUAGUUGUGAGUGGUCUCACUUUGUCACAUAGGAACAAUAGCUUUGCCUCGGUGUCCGUCGGAGCUUAGUACAUCUUGCAAAGAGCACUUGUGCAUCAUCAUUGUGCACGCUAUUGGAUAUUUUGCUCUCUCGGAUGAAAAUCCGGAGGGGAUCAUGCAUGUUGCCGCCCACCUUGUUAACUGUGUGCGAUCACUGGACUACUUAGGGCAUCUUUAAUGUACAUGGUAAGAGGGUGCCAAGAAGAGAGAGAAAGAAAUAUAAGAGGUGUUAUACAUUGGACCAAAGGUGCUAGCUUAGAAUUUAAAAGCACAUGUUGCCUCUUCUAGCACCUAGUGCUAAAGACUUUUUGUGAGAGACUGUACUACAAGUCUAUCUAUCAAAUAUUUUUAUAAUCUGUGGGACCCAUCUUAGCAUGGAUUAUAAGAUUCUAUACAUUAGAGCAAUAUGGAGCUAUGGUGCUAGUGGCUGAAGUGUCCUCCCUAGCAAAUUCUAGAGAACUAAACACUAAAGUUGCCCUUACCAAACCAACCCAAAGAAACCUCCCUAGCAAAUUCUAGAGAACUAAACACUAAAGUUGCCCUUACCAAACCAACCCAAAGAAACUUUCUUUCAGAAGAGCCCCUAGUUUCCUAAGAUUUAAAAGGGAAAGGUCGAGACCAUGAAGAGGUGAUGAUCUCUACACGGUUGUCUCAAUCUCACUUACACCAAAACCGUAUCCAUCCUAACUAGCUUUGGAGGGAAAUAACAAUUCUAUUCUUGGACAGUGUAGGCAAAGGCUUGAAAGAUGUCGUCACCGUACAACAAAUCAUCGGUGACCCUAUCAGGAUCAAGUCGGUGACCUCUACACACAACUACAUCUCAUACACAAAGGUCAUUGAAGGAUCUUCUUCCCUUUUCGAUCAUUGACAUCGAGCAAGAAACAGAAGAAGUGGCAAUGGUGUCAAGCAAUGGGUAGUGACCCUUAUUCUGCAAUUUAGAGUGAUCUUAGGUUAAGCGUGAUGUUUUAGUGAAUUAGGAAUCAACACACGCAACACGAUGAAAUAUGUGGGCGAGCUCCUCUCAUGUCGUCACCUUGAGUGCACAAGUUCACCCUCACGCCAUGCAUCUUGCCCUUCUACUACCACUUGGCAACCGAGAUUUUCCUACCAUCGUCGCCAUUGAGGUCACCCUCAUCGCCCGAUCUACAUGCUCGUGGAAAAGAGGGAGAUCAUGCGGGUAGAUCCGAACAAGUUCAUUGUGAGCUCGUGGUAGCAGCGAGGGAUGGCAAUGGCCGUCGGUCCAGAUCUAUAGCAAAUAGAGGGUGCGGUGGCUAGAUCUAAUGAGGAUACCGAUGCAUAUCAAGGAGAGGAGACCAGCCUCGUUGCUCCGAAACUCGACCCACCUGCCGCUGCUACACCUGUUUGGAGCGGUGGAAGGAGAAGGGGAUUUGUGUGGUGGCCUAGAUUUGUGCCAUCGUUGGUGAUCAUGUCGAACACCCGCUUCGGUUUGUGUUGUUGUCGGGUAGAGGGGGCACGCUGGAGUGUGAAGUUGCUAUCGUUCAGGUCACUGGAUAGGGUUGACGUCGAUACCAACGUAGGACGGGACUGACUUUUCACUUCACGUGGCUUCUAGUACAUAAAUAUAGAUGAACAUAUGAAUUAAAAUGAAACAAGAGUUUAUAUAAAAUGGGAGGGUUGAAAUGCAAAAUAUUUAUAGGUACCGCUAAAGAUAGCGCGCAUCACGAGAAGAGUGCCUUUAUCCUAGAUGAAACCUAAGACCGCUCCUAUUAAGUGGCUUACCUUAAGCCCUCGUUCUUUCAUUGACUUGUCUCCAUUAAUUAAGGUCCUUGAUGUUGAGAAAUUAAUUUUUUUAUAUCAUAUCAUAAAAAUGUUUUUUUUCAAAUGUAAUCAUAUAAAUUGACUUCAUUAAAAUGCUAUUUUAACCAAUAUGCUAGGGCUAGAAUGCUAUUCUCUCCCCGUCUAAUUCAUUUUGUGCAUAUACUACAUCUGUCCCACAAAGAUUCCAUUUUUAGCUUUAUUUAUCCUAUAAAGAAUGCAUUUAUUAAGCAACUAUUGUAUUAGAGUUUGGUAAAGUGGAUGAAAUGCAUUGAGAUUUGAAAAGAUGAAUCACAUACAUGUAGUCAUGUGUAUCGCCAUCAAAAUUCAUCAAAGAUAUGUCCACACAACUCGAAAUUCAUCAAGCAAUGCAAGGUUUGAUAAUACAAAUUUUGCACACACUUGCAUUUUAGGGUUUACAUUAUGAUCUCCAAAAUAAGAAAAAAGGAGAAUGGAAGAAGAUACAUUGGUGCAUGAUUUCCUCUCAAAUUCUGAAGAAAAAGUAUCACAUACGAUUGGAUUAAGAGAGUGCUUUCUUGGGGGUUUAGAGAGUUUUGCCUCAGGUGUGAGAGGAGAGGAGAGGAGAGGAGAGGAGUGGUUAUGAAGGAGAGGAAUAAGGGAGGCUGGUUGGGGCUAAUGAGGCUAGGGACAAUACCAGCCACUUUAGCGCCAAGGGAUGCCGCCAACCCUAUUGACGCCAAGCGUCCUCGUCCAUGUUAGUUGUUUGUCCACUGCGACACCUACCUUAUUGCCAAGAACUUUGCUUCGAGAAAUAGAUCUUUUUUCGGUUAAAAUUUUUUAGGAGUCUAUUUGAAAAAAAACAUUUCAUAAAAGGAUGACAAUAUAAACAACCAGGGAGCACUUUAAUGAUAAUAACAUGGUCCGUUAUGUGGAGUUUUACCUCCACAUUUCACAGGGUGCCCGUAGUUCUGCGCUUCUCAGCUAGGUCAUAGUAGGAACAAUUGUCAAUACUAAUAUUCUACUUAUACGUCGUUCCAAGAACCAUCGUGAAUGCCUUUUCUUCUUCAUCACCGACAAGCUCGUAGGUAUAAUUUCCUACUCCAAACGAGCUCAAACGACGAUAUCGAUAUGACUAAAACAACAUGCUUUGGCAUCAAGGGUAGCCAUGGUGGGGAGUAGUGGAUAGUUGGAGAAGAAAUGAGUGAGCAGGAGGUGGAGCUCAAGGGCAUUUUGUCAAUUCACAAUAUAAAACAGGACAAAAAUCAUCUAGAACUUCAAACAAAGAAAAUUAUACAGAAUUGUAUUUUACCAAAACCCGUGCUACAUCCAAGUUUGUCCUCGACGCUAGUUGGGUUCCUACCACAAUGUCCAUGGCAGUGCCUGGCAUGACAAUGGAUGGAUAGCUACGCAAUGCAUGCUUGGUGUUCCCGUGCUCCUCUUUGCGUUUGACCAGUUGGGCUGGUAGUACUUCUCGAGGAGAGGCUGACGUAGCGACGCGAACUCGUAGUAGUAGCGAUAGGAGUAGUAGCUAUGCAAGAGUAGCUGGUGGUCGAUGGGCGUAGCUGAUCUAUAGCUGAGCACACGAUCUACAGCGUUCAUGUGAGCAAGCAAUUGUGGCAGAUGUUGCAAGACCACACCGCAAUACAGGGUAUUGAUGAGUAUUGACUGAUCUCUUGCGUACGUCACAUAAUAGAGAUACUGCUACCACUCCUACUACCCUCUCAGUCCUAAAAUGAAAAACACACGGUUAUCUCAGUUUGUGAAAGUAAAAGCAAAUAUAUUAAAACCAGAUAAACUAGAGAACGCAUGUCUUGAGAUUUGAUAAAGUGAAGGUAUGUUGUAUUGGUACGGAGAAAAUGAAGGAUUUCGAGAGAGGGAGCAUCUUGCACCGAAGCACAUAUUAUAAUGUACCCUCUGUCUGGCCAUAAAACAUGAAUUCCAUAGUAGAGUAGUUGUACUAGUAUUGCCACUAUUCUACAGAAAACAAUUUAAUUCCGGAAAAAUGAUGCCAUGCUCCAGUAUUCGGAUCUGCUCGUCUCGUGGGCUCCCGAUGUUUCAUAGAUUGUGGGUCGGUCAUCUCCAAGGCCCAACAAGCAAGGUAGCCCCAUGUAGAAGAAGAGUAUAAAAAGAGCCCUAACAGCUGACAACGCAGAGCCCAACUUUCCACUGUAUCUAGCAGACUAGCCUAUAAUUUGUAUUACAUUUGUUUCAGAUUAUAUAUAAGACGUUUUAGAUUUCUCUAGAUCCAUAUAGAUACUAAUUAAUCUAAAUAUUAUAUAGAUGGAUGUAUGGAAAACUGAAACAUCUUAUCUUAUAACAUAAAAACGAGGGAGUAGCAAGCAAUAAAAAGUAUCGCGCAUGGGAGAAUUUUCCUCUGCAUUUUAAUCGUGCGAGUACAAACUUGUAUGCUCCACUUCACUCUUCACAAAUACAAUCACAUUAACAAAACUUUCAGUAUGUGUUAACGGGUUCAGCAUCAAAGAAUGUCCUGCAGUUGUUUCAAUCUUGGAUCCAACUCUGUUGCAUUGCCCAUUUCGUAGUCAUCUGCAGGAGUCCGGUAUGCAUCGGCAAUGGCCUUCCCUUUGUCCAGUACUGCUGAUGGCACGGUUUGAAGGAGGCUGAGAAGACAAGAACAAUGUAAAUUUCCAGUUAUUAUUCCGUUCGAUUUGAAGAGAGAAAAAGGUUGUCAUAAUAGAUAUCAGCACUGGUUUUACUUGUCUAAAGCUCCAAGGGCAACACUGAUUUUUCUCCUCAUGACAUCGACAGACGCUGAUGGGUUGUUCCGUGAUGCUUGUAGUAGCAGCGAGUCAAGAUCUUCCAAUGCUCUAGGAUAGAAUGAAUUUUCUGUCACUUAUCAGUUAUCAUUACCUGCUAUUUUUAUUGAUCAAAGUAUACAUUUUGAAAUAUGUCAAUCAUUUUUUUUACCGUAAGCAUUCGUCUACGGCAUCAGAAGCAGCUUUGCCUUGACCGCUGCUGGAAGCAUACUGCGCCACCUGCAUUUUGUUUGUAUCGAGCACACAUAGAAAUCAUCAAAUGGACUAUUCAUAUCCUCUGUAUGUUUGAACCAGUUAUGGCAAUGUGCAUAAUUUGAAAAAGGAAAAUAUCUUGGUGUUCAGGAAUAAAAAGGGCUAGCACAACACAGUUGAUACUUGCUAAUUAAUCUUAACUCGUGAAUGUACAGACUAUCCACAAGAAUAUCGAUGCCAUUUUAACUUCAGAAUCAGAACAGCAUUCAGAAUAUGAUCAGUAUCUUACUGCUCGAAUGUUGAUACGCAGAGAAGAUGCUGGACCAGAACGAAGUAAUGAUCUGCUCUCAUCAUACCUUGGCUUCUCAAAUUCUAAUGAUUUCUCUGCAAUUGAACAUACAUAUCCAUGAAUUUCCUAGGUAUAGGUUGUAUCACAUAUAGCACUGCAUCAUAGCUCUGCAAUUAAACAUACAUAUCGGAUGUAUGAAGGCGCUUUUCUAGCAGUAAAUUAUAAUGGCUUGCAUAUUUCAACACACAAAAUUCACUAUGAUAAGAAGGCAAUGAAAUCGAAGGGAAAAACUGCAGAAAAAUAUACCAUGGAUGGUACACCUCUCACAAUCUGAAAUAUGGUCAAAAAGAAGAUCCGUUGUGUGCAAGAUUUCUAUAUAGCUUUUUUACCAUCCUUGAUAAUUCACUUUGAAGUAGCACAUUUUACAGUGUAAAAGCCUAUUACCACCAGGUAAUAGAUACCUUGAUGCACCAAGAUUUUAUACUAAAAAUUUGGUAACUCUAGGAACUUUUUAAGGACCAUAAUAUUUGUCUUUAUAUAAACCUGAAGUAAUCGAUGCUUAUAUUUGUAUACUAGUGUGAUAUUGAUGAAUCUUGCUUGUUUUCCUGCAAGCUCUGGAGUGUUAUAUACUGCUAACGAUCAAAGUUGCCUAAGUGCCAAUCAAUAAGCAUGAAGAUAUUUUAGGUGUCAAACCCAUGGAUUACUCUUACCUAGAUCCCUAAACUGGUCCUGAGUCAACAGUACUGCCGGAACAUAGGUCUCCAAGGGCUCCAGCUUCUUCCUAACAUUGUAAAUUCAAGAAGCAAAAAACGUCGGCGGAAAUCAAAAGCUGCAACCUGUGGCAAGGAAAUGCAAAAAUUUAUGAAGAGAGAGAGCAAGAAACAAUCAGUGAACGGAUUAUUACUUCUUGACGUAUUUGUCGAACGGGUUCGCGUCUGCCCCUGCAACGGUUGCGAAGCAAUCAGUGACGAAUAAUUCGCACGCCGAACAGCGGACAGCAUGUGCACGCGGCUGGACUUACGGCCGGCGGUAGUGGCGAGCCAGGAGGCGACGCCGGCGAGGGAGACGGCGCGGCGGCCGAUUCCACCGAACGUCGGCGAGGGGGCGGACGCCGCGGAGGCGGUCUGGCAGCAUUGGCGGCGGGGGGGGGGGGGCCCCCGGGGGGGCGGGNNNNNNNNNNNNNNNNNNNNNNNNNNNNNNNNNNNNNNNNNNNNNNNNNNNNNNNNNNNNNNNNNNNNNNNNNNNNNNNNNNNNNNNNNNNNNNNNNNNNNNNNNNNNNNNNNNNNNNNNNNNNNNNNNNNNNNNNNNNNNNNNNNNNNNNNNNNNNNNNNNNNNNNNNNNNNNNNNNNNNNNNNNNNNNNNNNNNNNNNNNNNNNNNNNNNNNNNNNNNNNNNNNNNNNNNNNNNNNNNNNNNNNNNNNNNNNNNNNNNNNNNNNNNNNNNNNNGGAGGAGCGAGGUGGACAUGUUCCCGGGGCUUGCCUGCCUGCUGCGACGCGGGGGAGGGCCUCCGGGCUCCGGCUAUGGUUAGUUCACUUCAGCCCCUUUUGCACGAGAACCACUCGUGUCGCGUUUUCAUUUUUUUCUGACGACACGGCGGCCUGCGAACGAAAGCUCGUGGGUGUGCUCGGUGCAUAUGCACGCUACGUGGGCUCAGGGUUGCCAGAAACAUUCGGCCGUUUUCCGUGGGAAGAAAAGACGGAGAUUAUAAAAUAUUUUUGUAUAUUUAAUUAAGUAAACAAUAAAAUUAAUUAGUGUAAAUAUAUUUUAGAAAGUCGAGACGAUGAAAAUCUUUUUUACCGUACCUACCUCGAGCUAGCCGUUACUCACAUGAUUCAAUCAUUCAAACACCGAAGACUUCAGUGGAAACCACCGAGUAUCCAGUGGCACUAAAUUGCCUGGAAACACACUCCGAAGUAUCCAUCGACAACCACUAGGACUCUGGUGAACCCUCUGCAUAUAGGUUUCUUACCGCGGUCUCUAAUCCUUAUGACUGGAUACUCCCGAGCAAGAUCACUACAUGACACAUGCAAUUUGUUGUGAGUGUUCAAGAGUGGUCACCGAAUACCUCGAACAACUUAUAGGAAGAAGUUUUUUAGCACAGGGGUAUAUGUACACUCGUUGCUUGCAUGUUAUCUAAAUAGUCAUUAAAAAUUAUGAAAAAAAUUGACAAGAUAAUUUAACAUGAGUUAUAUCACUCAAUCAACAUGCAAGUUUAAAUUCAACUUCUAUAAGUAGUAUCAAAAAUAACAAAACAAUUAUGAAUAUGCGUAUAAUUAGUUUCAGUUUUGUUUUUUUUUCUACAACUUGUAAAUUUAAAUUUAAACUUGUAUGUUUGUAGAGUGAUAUAAAUCAUAUUAAUCUAUCUUGUCAAUUUUUUUUCAUAUUUUUAAUGACUAUUUAGAUAGCAUACAACCACACGGGUGUAUCUACACCCGUGUGCUAAAAACUUUUUCCCACAACUUCUACACUCAAAACAAACCCAAGUGUAUGGUGUGCAUAGUGUAUCACUCUUCUAACACUAUGAAUUCAACUAGAGCACUUGGUUUUAGUUGCAACAUCGAUUCAAACCUCUAUUUAGAGUAAAUGUACUUAUGGAUUCAACAAAAGGAAAAAAUAUACAAUUUUUAAUCUUUGAGCCCUUCGACUUUUCAUUUUCUUUUUUGGGUUCUUCUUUGUCACGUGCAAUUGCGUUGGGACUAUUCUCAUUACUAAACUUAAUGUACGUGUCAGUCCCCUAAAUAUUUUAUCACUUUAUAACCAAAACCCACUAGGGUGCAAUCAUGUACUUUUAUGUUUAAUUGCUGAAAUUAUUAGUAAUAGUCCAUAAGAUUUAAUCCAAAAAUAAACAAUGUAAAUCAUGAAGACGAUAUACACCCAAGAAAACAAAUUACUCUCGGUGAGAGAGAUAAACCAAAUAGACAUGUAAUAUUUGAAAAUAGAAUGAACAUACAUGUCUAUCUCAUUUGUGUAUAGAUGCAAAGCAAUCAAAACUUUAAUUGAGAAAGUAAAAAAAACAUAUGGAAUCAGACAAGAAAAGGAAAAAAAAUCAGGUUUAUUUUAAUCGGCACUGCUGCCGUCCGAUCCCUAUAAGAAUACUGUACAAGAUUAAACUAAAAAAAUUUCUCAUAUGUCUAAAUAUUUAAUUUAUUUUACGGUGAAUGCUAUGUUAUUUGCAACAGGUUAUGUACAAUCACAAAUAAGUAAUAUAUAUGAAAUAUAUGUGAUUGAAGAAGACGAAUAAAAGAAGAGAUAUUAUGCCAUAAGUUUUGUGUAACUUUGACUUAUUGUAGUAUUAUUCUUAGAUCUAUUAUGUUAUUAAGAUAAUAUAAAAGGAGCCGCUGUGUAAAUUUGCGUGAAGUACCAAAUGUAAAAAAUUGAUUAGGUUAGGUUUGAGUUUAAAACUAUUUUACCAUAGUAUUUAUAUUUUAUAAUAUAAUAUGAAACUAUAUUUGAUAUUAUAUAAGAAAUUUCAUAAUAAAGUUAGUCGCACAGUCUACACGGGCCACCAUGCUAGUCUUUCUUAUUAUAAAUGAGGUAUUCAACACAUAUAACUUCUAGUAUAAUGAGCAGAAAUCUUAUUGAUUUAAAUGGAUCAAUUACCUGAUUAAACCUAACGUUAAUUCGUAACCCAGGCAGUUUGCUUGACAACUUAUUCGCUGCUGCUUGCUUUCAUGCUUUGUUUGAGCGCUCGUGGAACACUAUCGGCGAAAAUGUCCAGAAUGUGGCAAUAUACAGGCGAAAGGUUUUACACAAGCAAAAAAAUAAAAAAGAAGCGCAAACAAGUUUUAAGAAGGGCAGAGCCACAGAAACCAAACAUACAGAAUGGCAACGGUAGCAGAAAGCACAAAGAACUCAUCAGUUGUGCAGAUCACCGGAAAUGUUUCAACUGAGCCCAGAGUACAACUGCCAGUAUAUCUUAAGGUAAACUAGUGAGGACAAUAGCUGCUUCCACAUGCCAUACUCAUAUCUAGCUCUAGAAAGACGCCUUGCACUUGAGCACGAAGCCCAGCAGCAGCAGCGUGGCCAUGAGCCCGCAGGAGGAGCCCCCCACGCGGUGUAUCCAGUAGGGAUCGAACCUGACCACCCUCCGGUCCAUGAAGCACGUCACGUUGAUGGCCAGGAUCAGCACGAUCAGCAGCGCCGGCAGCCACAGCGCCGCCACGACGCCGUCCUCCUCGUCGUCGCUGUCCACCACCACCACCACCGGCCGCCGGUCGAUGUACAGCGGCGAGAGGACGGCCACGACGGCCAGGACGACGCACACGAGCCUCUCCGUCGACGACGGCCUCCCCAUGGCGGCGGCAGGCUGAGUCUGGAGGCUAGCAGCUAGCUAGCUAAUGCAAAAAACGCUGCCCUUGGCUGUUCAGAAUUUUAACUUCUUUAUGCUGUCUGAACCAAUCUUCAGAAACUAGGAGAGAACCUGACGGCAUUUUCUAUCGCCAAGCCUUUUGACGAUGGAUUGAUCCCAAUCAUGCAGAGGAACAUAUUCAUACUGUCCCGCUAUGAUCCACGGACUGGUGGCGAGAAUUGGAUUGCGAUGUAAAGGCGAGAUUCUUCCGAGCUAGUGAGCUCGGAAUCAGAUUCCGGGAGAAGCAGCUCAAAAUUUGGGGUAUCCAAGAACAGCGUGGCUCUGGACGUAGGAUCAAAUUUGACGGCCCUGAUAAUAAUUUUGCUGCGAGGAAGAGUAAAAGCCGAGCUCUUUCCCGUGAUCAUACAUUCAUACUGAACUUGUUCUUGAAGCAGCAUCUGUGUCAGUCGCCUGAUGUCAUUGCCUGUUCGAUACUGGAGUAGUACGAGUGAUUUUGGAAUCGGUACGGCGAGAUGACUCUGCAGCUUACACCUGUUCUUGGGACGAGAAAAGAGCACGAGCUCCUGCACUUUAUUUGGACGUGAAAUCGCCGGAUUCAAUUCAUCAGCAUGUAAUGCUGGAGACAGAGCAUCUUUUUAUCUGUUUAUUAUUAGCUGUUAGGCAAGUAAACACAAGUGUGAGCAUCAAGGCUGGCAUCUUGGUCUGAUUGAAGCGGUUUGGUCUGAAACGGUAGGCCAAAGCAGACGAGAAAAGGUGGUAUGAAUGUGCAAACAAGGGGCCGGCGGAAAACGUAUGCAAACGAAACAAGGUCCUUCAAAGGCAGAGUUCCAGUCUUCCAAAGGGAAAAGGAGGCUACGCUAACAUAUCGUAAUAAAAUGAUGCCAUUGGAAGGUCAUUAACUCAUGAUAUGAUAACAAAGUGACUUGAAGGAUUUGCCAAACAGAUCUAGAUAACUCAUAAUUACUAGGAGUAUAUUUGAUUCUGAAGCUAAGAGUCCUUUGGGAAGCAAGUCAACUAUUAGUGUGUUUGAUUUACCGUUCACGUGCGCUCAUCAUUUAGCUUAUGCUUAUGUUUUAUAAGCAAAAACUUAAUUUUGAUGUUGGUUUUAUUUUUUAGAUACUUUAUUUUACAAUAUUUUUUAAAAUAAUAUAAACAUAUAUGUAAAAGUUUUACUCAAAGUUUUUUUUAAAUUACAAAUAUAUCGUUUCGCUUAUAUGCUAGCACAUGUGAGGUUCCGACUUUUGGUUGGCUUGAACCAUAGCCUGUCCAAUUGUCCAGCUGAUGUAAAAAAAAAAAAAAGCGAGAUAUGUGCCUUACCAUAUAACAGCCAAUCGAAUCUUAGCUUCCCUCAACCUCCACGAUACCAUUACCCUCCACCAUUGUAUAAUGGCCCUGGUAUAUGAUCUAGACCAUUGUUUUGAUUUUUUGUCUUCACUCAGAAGUCAGAACCAAUCAACUCUAUCGUUUUCUCUGCAGCAUAUCAAUCAUAUCCAAAAUUUAAAUUCUAUAACUCAAUAUUGAAACUGAUCUUGAUAUUUCCCUACUUUUAUCUCUAGCGGUGAAAGCAAAUUUUUAUGCAUAAAUUAUGGAUUAUAUUUCACAAAACCAUGUAAAAGGACAAUAGUAAAGUUGUACCACCUGUAUUUUUUAUACUUUCAGCAAAAAAAAAAUCUGUACUUCUUUAAGGCCUUAAAUUUAUAACUUUCUGAGAAAUUUGAUGCUAAAUUGUAUUUUUGUGAUACACAAUCUUAAAUAUAGAGUUUUGCAAUCUUUCUAUCAAAAUACAUGUAGUUUCGUAAUAUUUACUCCAAUUUAGGUUUUUGCAAUUAAUAAGAAUUACAACUCAGUCAGUUAUCGACGAAACCAUCAUGGUUAUCGGUGCCAUCGUUCUAUAGAUAUACAAGUACAACUCUACGAGACCAAUCCAAGUUGAAGCUAAAGACAAAUACGGGAAUGCCAAUCAACCAGAUUGACAGCUAUCCAUGAUCCAUCCAAAUAAAGAAGCGCGUUAUAGAUGUAUAUUGUUUUCGUAUAAAAAAUUAAAAGAAUCAUCUAAUUUUCUAAUAGCUGUUUAAUAUUAUAAAUAAAUGAUGGUAAUUACUAUAAAGUUAAAAUAUACUUUAGAUACACGUGAGAUAAUAAAUCGUCGUAUAAAAUAUUUUGCAACAAAUACACUCGGAAAGUCUUCACGAAAAAACCGACCAAUAAUCUGGCGACAAACAGCACAUAAACAAUACAGGCUGCGUUUGGCUGGCUGGGGGUAAGGUAACUUACCUAGGCACGAAAAACGUAGUAAUAGAUUAGUAAAUGAUUAAUUAAUUAUUAAUUAUUAUAAAAUGUAAAAUAUAUUAAUAUAAUUUUUUAAAAUAACUUUUCUAUAGAAAAUUUUUGUGAAAAAUAUAUUGUUUGACAGUUCGAAAAGCGUGCGAGCAAAAAACAGGGUGAUAAAUUAACUUAGAAGGGGCGAUGGCAAUGGAUCGGGUUUGGGGCGGGUUCUGUAAAAACCUACCCAUCACAAAACUCAUGACAGUAAGGUAAACCCAUAUCCGUAAACCAAAACUAAACCCGUAGCCAUAACCGAUGGGUACCCGAAACCCAAUGGGUACCACCGAUGAAUCUAUGUCAAAUAAAAGAUAUCUUAAUCGAGACAUCUUCAUGAGUAUAUUAAGGUUUCUCAAUAUUUAAUUAUAGGAAUAAGCAAAUAAACAUAGCCAAUUGAUUAAUAUAGCAACAUGAAAUUGAAAAAGGUAAAAUAAUAAGCAAGUAAAACUAAGCUUGACGAAUUCUAACAUUCAGUCAUCUAAUCAUAUCGACACAAACAGAUAAUUAUGCCUCAACAAUAUUCUGAUGCCACUUGCUUAUAAUACUGGACAGUAAACAGUUUUAUGUUUAAUAUUUAAAAGCGUCACUUAAUUUUUGGGACCCAAUAUGUAACCAAGGAUUAAAUCUAAAACCCGUACACAAUUCAUAGCUUUAUACGUACCCAUAAACUUAUAGAUAUAAAUCUUCGUCCGUACCCGUAUCUAUUAGGUACAAAACCCGUUAACCCGUUAGGCCCCAGAGCGUGGGUCCAAUUGCCAUCGGGUGAAAGAACGCGGCCACAGCCUACGUACGUAUCGCCAUCCUGGAUGUUUCCGUAAACCCAUGUGGUACAGCCUACCGAUCGGCCAUCGCAUCAGCGGGAUAACACCAGCAACAUGAACAUGAACGCAACGCUUUCUUCUGUCACGUUCUACGCGGUACGCCGUACGCCGCUCUCCUUCAUAUGAUGGCCAAAAUCCAAUCGCGUCGUCGAAUGGUCCAAAUCCAACCCGUGUGGCCACCGUGAUUGGACGUGGCUGUAGAGUGGGGCCCACCCGUCAGGCCCACAGAAACAAGCGAAACGGAUAGCGGAGGAGAGACGCGACGCGAGACAGGCGGCAGACCAAGCCACCACGCCGGAAGCCGGAAGCGGCACGCCCACGCGGAGGAGCUCAUCAUUGGCCGCCNNNNNNNNNNNNNNNNNNNNNNNNNNNNNNNNNNNNNNNNNNNNNNNNNNNNNNNNNNNNNNNNNNNNNNNNNNNNNNNNNNNNNNNNNNNNNNNNNNNNNNNNNNNNNNNNNNNNNNNNNNNNNNNNNNNNNNNNNNNNNNNNNNNNNNNNNNNNNNNNNNNNNNNNNNNNNNNNNNNNNNNNNNNNNNNNNNNNNNNNNNNNNNNNNNNNNNNNNNNNNNNNNNNNNNNNNNNNNNNNNNNNNNNNNNNNNNNNNNNNNNNNNNNNNNNNNNNNNNNNNNNNNNNNNNNNNNNNNNNNNNNNNNNNNNNNNNNNNNNNNNNNNNNNNNNNNNNNNNNNNNNNNNNNNNNNNNNNNNNNNNNNNNNNNNNNNNNNNNNNNNNNNNNNNNNNNNNNNNNNNNNNNNNNNNNNNNNNNNNNNNNNNNNNNNNNNNNNNNNNNNNNNNNNNNNNNNNNNNNNNNNNNNNNNNNNNNNNNNNNNNNNNNNNNNNNNNNNNNNNNNNNNNNNNNNNNNNNNNNNNNNNNNNNNNNNNNNNNNNNNNNNNNNNNNNNNNNNNNNNNNNNNNNNNNNNNNNNNNNNNNNNNNNNNNNNNNNNNNNNNNNNNNNNNNNNNNNNNNNNNNNNNNNNNNNNNNNNNNNNNNNNNNNNNNNNNNNNNNNNNNNNNNNNNNNNNNNNNNNNNNNNNNNNNNNNNNNNNNNNNNNNNNNNNNNNNNNNNNNNNNNNNNNNNNNNNNNNNNNNNNNNNNNNNNNNNNNNNNNNNNNNNNNNNNNNNNNNNNNNNNNNNNNNNNNNGGGGUGGUGGGGCCGGGGGUCGCCGCGGGGGGCAUGGCGACCGGCUCCGUCGUGAAGCCGCCGCCGCCGUCGCUGGCCGGCGCGGGGCGAGGGCUCCGUGGGCGGGGAGUCCUCCACCGGCGUCUCGCGGCCUCGCCUAUGUGAGCUCUCUGGUUCGAUUUUGUUUUUCCUGCCUUUGUUUGCGUUGGGGUCAGUCCGGUGCGAUGGCCCCCCGGGGGUCUUUGUUUUUACAGGAAUUGCGUUCAUCCGUUGCUGAUUGUGAACUAGGGGAAACUGGCGAAGGGAAGAACCUACUAAGAAGGCUUAUGGGUGUUAUUGAAUGGUGACUUGUUAGAUUGCUUUUUGCAAGUUAUAUUCAAGGCAAGAAAGACUGACCAAUUAGUUCAAUGUAGGAUCACGGUCUUGUAGUCUUGUUGUGCCGGUUCUUUGUGGGGGGUAUUUAUUGAUUGUAUAUAUUGCAGUUUUAGACCGCACAACUAUUUAUGGUACACAUUUAGUUAGAAUAAAUGCAAUAAACUCCUCUCUUUGUACUGGGUAGCAGUGAUGAUUGCUACUUUGUAUUUUGUGAUGUUAUGACUUGCUGUGAGGAAUUUUGGAAGGUUUGAUCCAAAGACACCUUCGUUGAUGCACAAUUUGGAACAUUUUGGUUUGCUAGUAACUCUUACAUAUAGAUACCAUUGGGCAAUCAGAAACAUGUGGAGUAACUCUUACAUAGCAUGAAUUUAUGCACUGUCAGUGCAUCUUCCUCAUUGUUUCUUUAAUACAAAAUCAGCAAUUUUUUCCCCAGGAAAGAUGAACCUGUGGCUUCAACAAAUGGUGGCAAAGAUGAAAUGGUCACCGAUAGCCUCAGUGUUGCUAGAAGAGCCUCUCCCCCUGGGCUUUCAUCAAGCUUACCCAAUCCAAUUUCGGUGGUUCCCACAUCUUUCCAAUCAGCACCAUCUGAUCUUCGUUUCAAUCGUCUUCGACCCUCAGUUGAGGAAAGUGAUUGCAAAUACAAAAGAUUUUUUGGCUGCUAUGUUGCUCGGGAGGCUAUAAUUGAUGAGGAAUACUGGGUAUUUUUCUUGUCAUCUGUAAAGAAUAUAAGACCGUUGACUCUUCAAGUACACUACAAUUCUCCAAUUUUUGCUGACAUAGCCUGUACAUGUAUUUUGUGGUAUUCUGAUUGGUACUAUUAUAUGGUAAUACCAUGGUCCUAUAUAUACCUUUUGUUUUGCAUGUUAAUAUUGCUGAUAAGAUGUCAUGAGACACGUAGAUAUCAUUUAUAUGUUCCAUGCACUUUUGUAUUGUAUACUAUAUUGGCUCCUAACAUGGGAUUCCUACUAAAAUUUAUGUUCCUAGUCCUUUACCCUCACCUUUUAGUUUGUAUUAUGAAAUUGUAAUAUUAACUUUAACAUCAAUGUAUAACAUUCCCUUGUACCAUCGCCUUGAUAGAUUGCUGCAUGGUUGAGAGCAGAGAAUCGCUAUGAAGAUCAGUCAAGUGAUCGGUUAGUGUUUAAUUUGCAAGCAAAUUUUGUGCAUCCUCAUCUUUUCUUUGUAUUGCUGUUCACAUAGGAUUAGUGCUAUCCUUGUGGUUAAUGGUUAACAUUUCUUUAUCAUCAUUUCUGCUCCAGCUAUGUUGAAAGCUUCAAGAGGAAGUUUGCAUCACAGGUACACGGGUAAUCAGUUGGUCACUAGUUUAUGCCUGCUUGAAGGCAAUUGGGAUGGCUUGUCCCCAGAUAGCUCUGCUUAAAUUGACACUGUCAAAACGUCCAAUUAAUUUUCCAUCGAAUGAUCAUUCAAUAGUCAAUACUUCAUGUUGUGGUUUGACAUUUGUGUGUCAUUGUUGGAUAUCCUUUUGCAGGAAUUUCAUGCAUUAAAGAAGCGAUGUAGCAAGCUUCAAGGAGAGAAGUAUAUUUGUUUUGUUGCGGUACAAUACAAAAGCUCUCUGCAUUUUGGCUAUCAAAUUUAUUAUUAUGCCUUGGAUCCAGCAUGUUAGUUCAUAGGAAAUACUUGCAAGGGGUCCAAACAUGCCAAAAUGGCUACCACAACCAACAAGUGAAGUGUUGACAAGUUUUUCUAAAGUAGAACUGACUUAAAGCUGCUUCACCAACAGUUUUCUUAUAUUUCACAGUUGAAAAUCUCAGUCUCUGGUGUAAUAUGGCAGGUAAAAAAUGAUGACCUCAAACGAACUGUGCUGAAUAGCGUCGUUGGCACCCUGGAUGUCUGUAUAAGGCAUCCUUUUCACGGGGAGACAUUUCCUGCGGUAUGGAAAAAUAGUAGUAUAGCACCCAUGUUUUUCUAUAUAACUUCUGUUUAUUUAUGUUAUGGAAAGUUACAUCUCAAAGUUCUUUACAGGAGCCUGGGAAGUCAUCAUAUCAUUGUAGAAUAUAUCAGCCGGAUCAGCCAAAGUUUGGAUAUCUGACAAAUGUUUGUGUUGCUAAAUAUGCACGGCGUCAAGGGAUCGCGAGCAAUAUGCUGUUAUUGGCCAUAGAUGCUGCAAGAGUCAAUGGUAAAGCAAUAAGUUGUUGUUUCUAGAAAUUAUGCAAUGUUAUUUUGUAGUAGAUAUGUACUCCAUCCGUUUUAAAAUAUAAGGCGUAAAUUCUACUAACACAAAGAUCAAGAAAAAAAUUAUAACCAUCUCAUUGUUUAGAUUACCUUGGUGCAUAUAUAUGUGCAUGUUAUAUGGUUAGAUGUUUUGAUAGUGAAGAAUUUAAAAUAAAUUAAAUUUAGAGGAAAGAGAUGUGCUAGUUAAUGCAUACUUAUAUGCAUGUAUUAUAUUAUGGGAAAUAGAAAAAAAGUAAUUAUAGAAAAAGUAAUUACAUCUUAUAUUUUAGAAUGGAGGGAAUACCAGAUAAUACUGACCCAUCCACUGACAUCUUCAACCCUGCUUUAGGUGCUGAAGAUGUUUAUAUUCAUGUGCACAAGGAUAAUCUACCAGCUCGGAGGCUCUAUGAUCAGAUAGGAUUCAGGGUAUAUGCAUACCAUCUUGUUUUGCUAUACUUCUAAAAAAAAUAUACAUGUGGAUGCACGCUUAUACUGUGUAUUUGUAGAUGGUUGACUUCGAUGGUGCCUGCCACUCAUCAGAUCUAUGCUUACUCUCCUUCGGUUCAUAGGAUUUUUAAUACGAUGGAGUUUUGAUCCCAUCUCCCUGUGCAGAUGAAAUGCCACUAGUCCUUGUUAUUUGGAAAGCGGGACAGUGUCAGGAAUAUGUUUACCAUCAUGUACCAGUAAUGUGCAUAAUAUAUUUAGUCAAAUUAAAUUUCAUAGAAACACCCCAAUUAAAUUAAUGUCAUACAAAAUAUUUUUGUUCAUAAAUUAUUAAAUUACAUUUUAGUCAUAUUAAUUUUGUUACUAUCUAUCCAAUUGAGCUCUAGUUCAAUUCAGGUCAUAUAUCAAAUCCAUUUAGGAUAAAGUGCAAAAAUGUCAUUGUCUAAAAAUAUUCGACCAAGACAAUCAAUAAUCACAUAUAAUCAUUUCUCUACUAUUUAAAAAUCAAUAACAUUUCUACCCAUUUUUUUUAUCACUCGCCUGCUAUCCAAUUGCUUGCGUCGCAUCACGUCGAUUGCUCACAGGCUCACAACCCACUCAAAGAUCACUCAAUCUUCGAUCCCUUGUAUUCUCCUUUCCAAACUUGUAGGAAAAACCUAUGUUUCUAUUUUAGACCCUACAUCUUAUCGCUCAUCUCUAGAAUCUCGAUAGCUUCAUGUUCAUUUUAGAUCCGAUGACUUCCAAUUCGGUUUGACACCAGGAGAACAAAUGAGCACGCGAUGAUAAAAUGAAGACAUUUUUAUUAAAUAGAUCUUCCUUCACAAACUGCAGUAACUAUGUAAUGUAAUUUUAUUAGUCGUACCAUGUUAGAAUCCUAAACCUGCACAUCAUACAUGUAAGAUAACAAUAUACUUGAAAUUUUAACAUGAAUGUUCAUUUAAAGAAGAAGGAAGGUCAUUACAUGUUGAGUAAAAUGGUUUGGCGGACAACUUUUUCCUUGUGGAACUAUUUCCACGUGGACUUCAGAAACAAGAAUUUUCUCCAUAUCCAAUCCAAGAAUUUGUUUUCCUACCUUGUUCAGUGACAAAUCAACUUCUUCCGGAUUACUGAAAUGUUGCAUAAAUAAUCAUUAAGCAUUCUUAUAUGCACUUCUAGUUAGUAUAUAUAAUCAAUUACUGAUUCUCACAUCCUCAGAAAAUUAACUCGAGCCUUUGGCAUCAGCUAUUCAGUUAGCCUGAGCCGUGUAAUCUGCAACACUCAUUUUGUACAUGUGAGGAUUAGUAAUCCGGAUGCCAAUGGUUUAGGAUGGCCAUCCACUGGAGAGGAAGUUGCUUCACUGGAUGACCAUCCUCUCCAGUGGAGGGCAUCAACUUCGAUCCCUCGCCAUGGAUGUUUAAGGGGAUGACCGCAAUGGGGUCACCGGGGAAGGGAUUCAUGAUGUGGUAAAAGGAUCGGCGAAUAACGGCGAUUGCAACAAUUGAGAUCAGGGGUGAUGCUAGGGUUAGAGGAGGCAACUGGAGGAGAGUGGUAGGGAUGAGGCGGCGCUCCUGGCAUAGAGGAGGUAGUGGCCCCCGCCGGCGGCGGCAGAGGGAAGGUGUAGAGGAUGUGGUGACUAGGGUUUGGGAACGCAGGUGAAGGAGAGGGGUAUGGAUGAGGCGACAAUGGUGGGAGAAGAGAGUAUGCGGUUUUCGAGUCUUUGGGAUGAGGCGAGUCUGAUGGACCAUCCGAUUCGACUUAUGUAGAUUUAGGGCUUCUGAUAUGUCACAUAAAUACAUGAUGAUGACGAGUAAAUCAAGUUUGUGCACUAUAUUUUAGAUGGAUUAGAUACCAAGAUAGUGAGAAAUGCUUUGUAACUUUUGAACUAACGAGGGGUUAACCUAUAUCAUUCUGAUGCCCUGGAAUGUUAUGCAUCUAAGAGCUUUUACCAGGUUUCUUUUAUCAUACUCUAUACAUAUUACUUGUGAAUACAGCGAAAAUUUAUUGGUCUAUUCUCUCGUUUCUCUAAGUAAAUGAAUAUUAUAUACUGCAUCUUGGCACCGUUUGCAAAACACCAAGCAUGUGUUACAUUGCAGUGUGAAGUUUACCACAUCAUAGUCACGCUGUUGCACACAAAAAAAUGUAUAAAUAGCUUCUAUAAUCCAAGGCUAUUCGUAAUGGAGGCGAUGAACGGUUUUAUUUUGUUGUUUUCAACAGUGCCACGUCAUGUUGAGUGUUUUGAGGUGAUGAAAUAAAACAUCCUCCCACAAUGCACGGUGUAAUUUUGUGGUAUCUUACAACACCUAAUGCACAUCCUUGGAUGAAAUGAGACUUUUGUGUCUAAUACGAGUGUGGAAUCAUUUUUAAGUUUUUAAAAGAGAGUAUAUCCAAUUCUAUCUAGAUAAACCUAUUAUAUCUCUCUUCAUAACUCCAAUGAUAUAUCAUUCGAGUUUCUUAUACGAUACUUUAUUCACUGAGAAUGAAACCCCAUUAAGAUUGUAUUACAAACACUGUCCAAGCAAGUUCUCUAAACCCUCCUCCAAGCAUGACACUUGUACAUUAUUUUUCGCUCCCGCUUAUGUUUAUAAACCAAAAAUUAAUUUUUUUGUUCUUAAAUUUAGAGUUGAUUUUAGAGUUUUCAUACUGAAGUUUAUUUUCCUGUCUUUCCUUUAAAAUCGAUAAUAUAUAUAUAUAUAUAUAUAUAUAUAUAUAUAUAUAUAUAUAUAUAUAUAUAUAUAUAUAUAUAUAUAUAUAUAUAUAUAUAUAUAUAUAUAUAUAUAUAUAUAUAUAUAUAUAUAUAUAUAUAUAUAUAUAUAUAUAUAUAUAUAUAUAUAUAUAUAUAUAUAUAUAUAUAUAUAUAUAUAUAUAUAUAUAUAUAUAUAUAUAUAUAUAUAUAUAUAUAUAUAUAUAUAUAUAUAUAUAUAUAUAUAUAUAUAUAUAUAUAUAUAUAUAUAUAUAUAUAUAUAUAUAUAUAUAUAUAUAUAUAUAUAUAUAUAUAUAUAUAUAUAUAUAUAUAUAUAUAUAUAUAUAUAUAUAUAUAUAUAUAUAUUCUCCCCAACGAAAAGUACAAACUCUAUACAUGUAGAUAGUAUCAUUUACAUGAGAUUUAAUAGUUGCUAUAUUUUCUGUUGGUUGGAAGCAGAAAUAGUUAUAAAAAUAUUUUUAUCAUGGACGUGCAGGGAGUAGCUACACCUGGUAGUAUGAUCUAAUUUUCAUAUAUAUAUAUAUAUAAUAAAAGUUUAUCCAUAAAUUUUUAUUAUUUUUCACCGAUACAAUCAUCCGGUAGAGUCGUUGAGAAGGUUCCCACUAUAGACCUGACUUUUUUUAAAAAAAGAAAUUAGAGACCUGAUGAUAUAAUGAGGUUAUUAACCAUGAAUAGUACUCCUAGUCGCAUAACACCAAUGAAAUCAGAGAUUUUAUCUUAAGAUGAUCGGAUUGCUGGGAAGUAACGUAACCAAUCUGGAUUCUGGACGGUUCAUGACACCGCCAGGGGGGGUUGAGAGCACUGCAUCGUAUUCUCCUCUCUUCUCCUCCCGUCUCCAGAACACACCGAGGGACUCAGGCGAACGGCUGGGCGGCUCCGGCUUCCUCCAGGUCCGGGUUCUCGCCACCCCCUCUCCUUCCUUGUCCUCUCCGCCCUUGUCCUCUCCGCCCUCUCUCUCUCUCUCUCUCCCGGCCAGGUCCAGUCCUCUCUCUCCCGGCGGCCGGAUCCAGCGCGGCGGCCAUCGACGGCCGGGGGCGCGCGGGGGGCUGCCAGCCGCGGUGGUCGAUGGGCCACGCCGGCAAACGCCGGCCGGGGGUGGNNNNNNNNNNNNNNNNNNNNNNNNNNNNNNNNNNNNNNNNNNNNNNNNNNNNNNNNNNNNNNNNNNNNNNNNNNNNNNNNNNNNNNNNNNNNNNNNNNNNNNNNNNNNNNNNNNNNNNNNNNNNNNNNNNNNNNNNNNNNNNNNNNNNNNNNNNNNNNNNNNNNNNNNNNNNNNNNNNNNNNNNNNNNNNNNNNNNNNNNNNNNNNNNNNNCGGGGCUGGAGAUAUAUAUAUAUUUUAAUUUUUUAAUGAUAUUUGCCAGUUUUGAUGAUAUACAUAUGCUAUAUGCAAACAUUUACUAUGCGGUGCUCUAGACUGCUGCUGGAAUCAGAUGUUUUGAGGAUAUACAGCCGCUCAAGUAGAUAACCAAAUUUGUUUGUCCAAUUCUUUUCAAAUGCUAAUUGUAACUAUAAAUAUUUUCUGUGCUUUGUAAUGUUGAACUGGAAAUAAAAUGAGGGAGAAACGCAGACAGUAUAUUAAUGAGCAAGCAUUUAGUGUGAUUUGUCUGCCAUUGUAAAAAACAUCGCUAAAACUCAGAUUUUUUUCUAAUACUUUAAUUCUGGAAUCUAUUCCGGAACAGAGAGAUCUUUCUGUUCAUGAUGGUGUAGUGGUUGUCCUCCUCAGAUGUAUAAUAAAUGUAUUGCCUAUAUUUUGUAUAGCAGUGCCUGUGAUUAAGUGCUUUGAAGGCCUGGAUACAUCCUUCCCCUGGUGUUAUUCUGUAUAGGGAAGAGAAAUCUUGGAUGUAAAGCUGUUUCCAGUGAAAAGACGGUAUGUUGCACUCCUUUUUUCCUCUUAUGUGCAAACUUAAGACUGAUUUCUUAAUGCAGUAGACAUGCUAAGCAUAUAAUAACUACUAUUACAUAGGCUGGCUGGCUUAGACUUCUUCCAUUAAAUUAAUUUGCUUCACAAAUGAAUAAAUGAUUUGUCUGACUUUUCAUUAGCACAGAUAGAUGGUUAAUUUGUUCAUCUCUAUCAACUUUUUUUCUACAGGGUUGUCUACAGCUCGGACCCAAAUUUGCCACAAACAGCACACAGCAACGAAAAGGCAAGGUUACCGACGCAUCGCCGGUGACCCGAUCGAACCCAGCUAUGUCGGCGCGUGACAGAGAGACAGCCAUGGCGCUGGCCCGCGUCGCCGCUGCUCUGGAUGGGGCGGUGCUCGGCCUGGGCACUGCCACCAUCGCCGUCGCCUCGUGGGUGAAGUACCUGGCCGUGUCAGGUCAGCUACGGCGCAUCGUCGCCGCUCCGGCAGUCGCCAUAUCUGAUAUCCGCUCUUUCCUCGUGGAAUACGGUGAGGGCGACGAGCCAGUCCUCGCAGCGGUGCGUGGCCACGUCCGUGCCGCCCCCCAGGGCAAGCUCCUCGUUCCCCCAGGCUCCGGCGAGCACUGCGUCAUAGCCAAGCACACCCAGAUGGUGAGUUGCGCGAUGAAAAAUUAUCUUCUAUCCUGUGCUUGGAACCAGGGUUUAUGCUAUAGGCGGUACGGAUGCUUAGUUAGGUUGUAGUUUUCAAUCUUAAACUCAUGCACAUGUUGAAGGUACUGAUUACUGUGGUAGGCGUGUUUAGGCAUUGGAAUUCUAUGUGGCCGUGAAGCUUGUUUGGUUUCAUGUUUUCAUGUGCUGUAUUGCUUUAGAUAGGGAUCUCAAAUCGUAGAAAUCUUGGAGAAUUUGAUUACAUGAAGUUAUGCUGUUAUCUGCUCUGUCUCUCUCUGUGUGUGUGUGUGUGUAGCUUCUAGGAGCUGUCGAGUAGGAAGGUAAGCGAUAUGAGAUUUGGCAGUCUCUUCUGCUGAAUUGGAUAGUUUGGGGAACGGAAGAUGCUGGCAGUUUCCUUGCCAGUCUGUUUAUGUUCAAUUCUGAGUUUUGAGUGACAACUGUUUUGAAAACUCUGGCAAUGUUGAUUAUUAAUAUACACAAAAUAGUGUAUGGUUCUGUUGCAUUGGAAAUUAGAUGAUUUGUGCCGUAUAUGAGUUAUCUGGUUGCGAGACGCCUACUGGCUGCAACAUUAAUCACCUAUAAUACUGCUAUGCUUCCAUGGAUUUAGAUCUUAUGAGAGUUCAAUCCCAUAAUUACUGGUAAAAUGCAGCAAUAUUGACUUUUGAUGGCAUCGGUUCAUUAUAAUUCAAGUAUGAUGAAUUCAUAAUAUAUGGUUUUAGAAGAAAAUAAGGAUUAGGAAUAAAUUGAAGAAAACAAGGCCUUUGUGUAAAGAUGUUUACGAUUUUGUUAUUUGUUGUUAUUGUGGCAUAAAAAACUGGGGUUAUGGUCUGGGUUGCCUAUAAUUUCUGUACAAUCUGUCCUGAAGAGAGGUACUAGUUACUGAUUUAGUUGCAAACUUCAGAAAAACCAAUGGGCUAUAUACUUUUGUAGUGUGGUGCAAACUGCAAAGAUACUUCUCAACAUAUUAUGCACACGAAUGGAAUAGACAUGGAAUUGCCAGUUCCCUUCUUUUGUUACCACGGUAAUACCUAUGAAUACAAAUAUGCAACAUUUACAUCCCCAAACUUUGUCAUCUUUUUUUCCUUGUGCCUUUACAGUUGUGUACCUGUUCUUCUUUCUGUAUAGAUUUCUCUAACUGGUGUUAUGUGUUGAUGUCCUUAUCUGGUGCUUGUUCAGUGAAUGGAGAGGCAUCUCUGGAUGGACCUUUGAUCUGCAUGCUCUCUUUUUUAAAAUCUUUGAAGGAACAGAUUACACGACAUCUUUUAGAUGUUUAUCACAGUAGUACCUAUGAAUACAAAUGUGCUACGAUAUUUACAUCCCCAAACGUUGUCAUUUUUUUUCCGUUGUGCCUUUAUAGUUGUGUCCCUGUUCUUCUUUCUGUAUAGAUUUCUCUAACUAGUGUUAUGUGCUGAUGUCCUUAUCCAGUGCUUGUUCAGUGAAUGGAGAGGCAUCUUUGGAUGGACCUUUGAUCUGCAUGCUCUCUUUUUCAAAUCUUUGAAGGAACAAAUUACAACAUCGUUUAGAUGGGUAUACUAUCUAUACUUCGUAAGCUGGUUUUUGUUAGAAUAAUUUUGGCUUCAAAUGUUAACCAUACCUUUCCUUUUGCAAGGUUCCAUUUGUUCUUGUAGAUCCUCAAAACAUGACUGGAAUAGUCCAUGUGAAUUUAGACAGGGCAAUGCAACCAUUACCUCUUACAUCUGUGUAUCAUAAACUUAUCCCAGUCGAGUCAACUCCAUACACAUUGUUUCAGACUAUUGUUGGCAAUGGCUACCCGGUAAGUUCUUGACUAUUGGACAUAAUUUUGUAGUUUGCAAUAUCAUUACAGGGAUAUCUAUCUUGAGCUAUGCUAUUAUUUAUUCUAUAGGUUGCACUGUUGGAUGAGGAAAAGAUACUUCCUAUAGGAAAGGAGAUUACAGCAAUAGGGUUUUGUCGACCGCAUAGAGCAAGUGUUGGGAUCAGCUCGUGUCCAGAGAUACCUUUUUUCUUGUAAGAGCGGCAUUGUUUGUCAUAUGUUAUCAUAUUUUUUUCUUUCUUUUACUGAUGCCAGACACCAGUACACCAGGAUUCCUAGAACAUUCGUAGUUUAUAAUUUAUAUGUCUAAGAUUGGUUAACUUAAGUAGGACAUGCAUAUCAAGAUAUUCUUUUGGUUGAGUUCUGCUGCUUUUUCAUAACGCUUUACCUUCAGGUCUGAGCUCACCAAGGAUGAGAUGGAAGUUGAGUUGUCUUCUCGUGCUCAAACACUCUUCUGGGCUACUGUUGUUCUUGGAACAAUGUCAGUUUGCUUACUGGGAUUUGCGACUUACAGGUAUCGAACUGUGACAUUUUUGCCAUUUCUAAAGAUUUUUAUUAGUUAGUACUCGAUUAGUGAUUUAGUUCUGAGGAUAAUUUACACUUUGAUGCUUCAUGUUAUCUUGCUUUCUUUUUUAGCUAUUUUACUUGAUGUUGUACUGCUGCAGGAGCUGGAAGAAGAUCAAAGAGCGGAGGGAGGCAAGGCAAGCCCAAGAGGUAUUUCGACAAACUACCGAUGAUGUUACAGAUGAUCAGUCUAGUGAUGAAGAGGCUGGUGAAAUGGGAGAUGGGCAAUUAUGUGUUAUAUGCUUAAGGAAAAAAAGAAGAGCAGCUUUUAUUCCUUGUGGUCACCUUGUCUGUUGUUGCAAAUGCGCACUGAUUGUGGAACGCCAGUUCGAUCCAUUGUGCCCUAUGUGUCGGCAAGACAUUCGAUACAUGAUAAGGAUAUACAACAAUUGAGGUACACGGAAAGUUUCCUUUUAAGCUUUUGGAGGGACUACUAAUCUCUCAUACAGUGCACCAACGGUUGACUCGUGGCUCAUUGUCUCACAGUAUAAAUCCAAUGAUCUAGAAUCAACUAUACCAAUCGAAUGACCUAGAACGACUCUAUAUUUCCACCGCCAUGCAUAAACAAAUUUCUUAUUAUAUAUUGAAAACUUCCUAUAAAAUAUAAAUAUAUAUAUUUCUUAAGUAUAUAAUUAUUUUAUAUAUAUAUAUAUAUGAAUGUGCAUGUGUCUAUAAAUACACAUGUAAUAUUUAUGACUAAUUGUGUAUGACUAUUAAUCCUACAGUGUAUUCACUGAUCAGUUAGAAACAACUUAAGAAGCCAUAAUCUCCUAAUCUCCUCGUCUUGAUCCAACAGAUCAAUCUCGCAUCUUCUCAACAAGCAACGACUAAGACCAUAUUUCUUUCGGCUUGGGAAUAAGCCGAAAGAAACAGACAAAUUGAAGUAGAAAGAUAAAUUGAAGUAUAUAAUCUAGAGUAUAGCUUAUUAUAAUCUAAUAAGUUCGUUUAGGUGAGCUUUUUUUAAUUAUUGGAUAAAAAAUUACCCAUCAUGUCACCCUACUCUUUCUUUUAGACUUACAAACCCAAUAAUCUAGGCUCUAAUAAUCUAGAAAAGAAACAACUCACGGCUUAUUCAGUAAUCUAACUCAGUAAUCUAGAUUAUAAUAAUCCUAAGCUGAAAGAAACAUGGCCUAAGAAAUCUCUUAUACUGUAACCACUCUAGUAAACAUAUGAUUAUUGAUGUAAAAUUUUUUGUCAAUUAAUUACCAUCAUGCUCUGAGAUUUAAGCAUCUCUGUGUUAGUGGUCGUGCAUGCACGAAGAACGCAAAUGUUUUUAUUUUUUUAUUUGGUUUUUUAUAAUUAAAGUCUUAUAUAAGAUGAGAUCAAAACAUAUAUAACUUUUAUUUAAUUUGUGUUACCAUGUAAUGCAUAAACUAAUAUGACUCAUUAUCUAUUAUCUUACGGGACAAAUUCUACGACUCAUUUAUCUGUCUCGAUUGAAAACCGCAAUUGUAUCCAUGUCUUCAUCUGCCCUGUACUACUACUAAGUGGCUGUUUGGAACCAGGGAUUUUUUUAAGUCCCUUGUCACAUCGGAUGUUUGGACGUUAAUUAGGAGUAUUAAAUAUAGACUGAUAAAAAAACUAAUUACAUAAAUAAAUGCUAUUUCAUUAGACAAAUUUUUUAAGCCUAAUUAAGCCACGAUUAGCAAAUGUUUACUGUAGCAUCACAUUCGCUAAUCAUGGGCUAAUUAGGCUCAAUAGAUUCGUCUCGCGAAAUAGUCAAGAGUAUGAGGUGGGUUUUAUUAAUAGUCUAUAUUUUAAUACUUCAAAUUAGUGUCUAAACAUUCAAUUUGACAGUGACUUACAAAAAAUCCCUAUGAUCCAAACAGGGUCUAAAUCAAUGCCUCUUCCCUAAUUCCCCGAGCAGCGUAUGCGCUACAUCCCCUAAGAUAUUGCUUAGAUUAAAUGUAUAUAUUUUUAUUAUAUGACUAUAAGAUGGCUAAAGAUAUGAAAUUUAACAUGAAACAGCAUAGAUUAUGUGGAAUUGAUUUCAUAUACACUUUAACGCUACGUAAUCUGAGAAUUAUCUACAUAGUAUUCUCUUUUCAAAUUCUUCCUACUUGGUGAGUUUGACUAUUCAUUUAUAUUCUUACUGGAAACCAUAUAAAGUUCACAUGGUUAGCUUUCUCUUCGACUACCACAUCAGGUGUGUUUUGAUUUUGCUUUUUAGAAACCAUAUAAAGUUUUGAUGAGUUGUUCAAAUAUAACACAAUGCCAAGCCUUAUAGACCAAAAGUUAUAAGUCGUGCCUCGUUGAGUUUUAUAAAUUUAUAAGAUUAAUUAUUAUACAUAUAAUUAUAUUUUUAAAUUUUAUAUGAUUAAGAUUUAUGAUUAUGUUUUUCUUUUACUUGGCAUGGCCUUUGAUCUACAGUGGAUUUCUGUUACAUUGUGAUAAAAGAGGGUUGUUUAAUAGGAUUAUGCGAAGUUACGUAAUAUUCCAUUUUACAUGAAAUAGAAGAAAUAUUCCAGUUGUUCUGUAGUAAAGAAUCAUACAAAUGUCUUCAAACAAAAUCAUAUAUAGUAUAUCCUUGGGAAAAAUACAUGCCUUAAUAAUAUGGUGGAGGGUACUCAUAUGGUCAUGAAAUUCAUUUGGUUGAAUAUGACUAUGGAUAAAUAAAAUCGUGUAAUGUCCCAAACAAUAACUUUUUUAUUUGGUUGAUUUUUAUUAUCAAAUGUUAUCAUACGUCAGUACAUAUAUGUUUGAUAUAUAAUUUGGAUCGAAUUAAAGUGCAUUUCACCUAUUUAGAAAAAAUAAUUUAACUAACAUGAAAUUACAUGAUAUAUGAGUAUAAAUAAUUUAACUAACGUAAAAUUGCUAAAAUAAUUUCUAAUAUAUGAAAAGUCUUUAAUAUAUAUAAAGUAUAUAAUAGGAAAGUUUAUAGAGUACUUUUCAUAUUCAUAGAAACUAUUUUAUAUAGAAGACCAUGUAGAUUUGUCCGAUGAGCACGAAUAAAAAUAGUUCGUAACUGGAGGAAUGAUCAGAGUGGUGGGAAAAAGAAAGAGAGACACGAUAAUCCUAUUUUUACCGGCAAGAAGAUUAACAUUAUAUUUCUGUCAAGAUAGUUGAAUUAAUCUACGACUGUUUACUUGCGUCGUGCGAAACCUGCAGACUUGCAGAGAUACGUAUACGUAAACGUAGCGCAAACGUUGAGCACGCCGUCCGCACGAUCGAGAUCGAACGGUCAAUACAGCCCAACAACGGCAACCGUCACACGUAGAUCGGGCGGUCAGCAAGGAACCCUAGCACCGAUCCCUCCCUAUAUAAAGGGCCUUCCUCUUGCCCUAACCCCUCCACUGUCUAUCUCUACCCCGCCGCCGCCGCCGCCGCCGCCUCCUCUCGACUGCUCCCGUCCUCUCCUUCUUCGAGGUCAGCUUCUUCAGAUCUUAUCUCUUCCUCCUGCUAUUCGCCGGUGAUUUUGAGCUGGCGCGUGUUGUUCUAGAUGUCUUUCCGUGCGUUCGUCUCACUGCUCCGAUCGUUGUCUUCUGUUCGUUGGUAGACUUGAUCUGUCGCCGAAUCACCUUCAUAGGUUUAAAAUUAUCGGUAGAAUCGGAGGAUAAAGUUGAUUUGUUGCGAAAUCGCGUACUUAUGUUGAAAAUUAUAGGUGGAAUCGGCGCAAGGAUUUGCAUCUAUAAUCUGUUUGGUGUUUGGGUAGAUCUCCAUUUCUGUAAUUUUUAGUCUGCUGCCGAGCGUACAUGAUGCUGUCGUCUUUUUCAUCUGUCUUAGCACUAGGAUAGAUGCCUAACUUUUCCUGAUCUGUGAUCUUACCAUGGUAAUCUUUGUUUAUUCCUUUGUGGUGCUGCAGGCUGCUAGUUCCCUCCUUAUUCAGCCAUGGGUAAGGAGAAGACGCACAUCAACAUUGUGGUCAUUGGCCACGUCGACUCCGGCAAGUCGACCACCACAGGACACCUGAUCUACAAGCUUGGAGGCAUCGACAAGCGUGUGAUCGAGAGGUUCGAGAAGGAAGCCGCCGAGAUGAACAAGAGGUCGUUCAAGUACGCGUGGGUGCUUGACAAGCUCAAGGCCGAGCGUGAGAGAGGUAUCACCAUCGAUAUUGCCCUGUGGAAGUUCGAGACCACCAAGUACUACUGCACUGUCAUCGAUGCCCCUGGACACCGUGACUUCAUCAAGAACAUGAUCACGGGUACCUCCCAGGCUGACUGUGCCGUGCUCAUCAUCGACUCCACCACCGGUGGUUUUGAGGCUGGUAUCUCCAAGGAUGGCCAGACCCGUGAGCAUGCCCUUCUUGCUUUCACUCUUGGAGUGAAGCAGAUGAUCUGCUGCUGCAACAAGGUAUAUCUUUAGUUGAACGUGUUAAUUAUGCUGUUUCAGAUUCUUUUAGUUUCAUCAUAGAAGUAACAUGAGUAUAUUGUACAUCUCUCAUUGGGAUUUUUGUAUGAGUGUGUGCUAAAUAUGCAUCUAAUGUUGCAAUUGUUGAUGGAUUGUUUCCAGUUACUUUAAACACUAGUGAUUAAAUAGUGCUGCAUAAAACACAACUCUUCUGCUUAAUUUGUUUAAAUUACUCAAUUAACCUCAUAAAUCGAUUGUUGGUUAAACUUAAUUCUAUAUAGUUUGUUUUGUUUAAUUUCUCUGAAUAGUUAGUCUAUUUUUCUGUUUCUAUUCUGCUGGAAGUAGCAGCUGCACAUUGCUUCAUUACAUCUUAUAUCUGGUCACUAUGUUUAGUAAAUGUUGUUUAUUAUCUGUUUCAUAUCAUACAUCUAUCGUUGUGUGGUUGCCAGCCCCUUGUUGAGAGAAGUAAUUGAGUUAUUCUAUUUUGUUCUGUUGCAGAUGGAUGCCACCACCCCUAAGUACUCCAAGGCCCGUUAUGAUGAAAUCGUGAAGGAAGUCUCUUCCUACCUCAAGAAGGUUGGCUACAACCCUGACAAGAUUCCUUUCGUUCCCAUCUCUGGGUUCGAGGGUGACAACAUGAUUGAGAGGUCGACCAACCUUGACUGGUACAAGGGCCCCACUUUGCUUGAGGCCCUCGACCAGAUCAAUGAGCCCAAGAGGCCAUCAGACAAGCCCCUGCGUCUUCCCCUUCAGGACGUGUACAAGAUCGGUGGCAUCGGUACCGUGCCCGUGGGCCGUGUUGAGACUGGUGUCCUGAAGCCUGGUAUGGUGGUGACCUUUGGUCCCAGCGGCCUGACCACUGAGGUCAAGUCAGUUGAGAUGCAUCACGAGGCCCUUCAGGAGGCUCUUCCCGGUGACAAUGUUGGGUUCAACGUCAAGAACGUUGCCGUGAAGGAUCUGAAGCGUGGGUAUGUGGCCUCCAACUCCAAGGAUGACCCUGCCAAGGAGGCUGCCAGCUUCACCUCCCAGGUCAUCAUCAUGAACCACCCUGGGCAGAUUGGCAACGGCUAUGCCCCAGUGCUGGACUGCCACACCUCCCACAUUGCUGUCAAGUUUGCCGAGCUGGUGACCAAGAUUGACAGACGAUCUGGCAAGGAGCUCGAGAAGGAGCCCAAGUUCCUCAAGAACGGUGAUGCUGGUAUGGUUAAGAUGAUUCCCACCAAGCCCAUGGUUGUGGAGACCUUCUCUGAGUACCCUCCUCUCGGUCGUUUUGCUGUGCGUGACAUGAGGCAAACGGUGGCUGUCGGUGUCAUCAAGAACGUCGAGAAGAAGGACCCCACCGGUGCCAAGGUGACCAAGGCUGCUGCCAAGAAGAAAUGAGCCUCGUUGAAGUGGUGGCUCCCCUAUCCGCAUUUGAUAUAUCUAGCUGUUUUAGUAUUCGUUAAGUUUUGUUCACGGCCGUGGCACUUGUUGCCCGGACCGUUAAUAUCUGCUCGCAGUGUGCACUAUUAUGUCAGUCGUUUAAAACUCUCGUUUGUUUCUGUUCGGUUAAAACUUAUGUUCCGAGGCUUGGGUAUUAUCCUUUCUUCGGCUGUGGAAUGCGAGUGUUUACAUUGUUAAUUCCCGUCUUCUAUUUUUUUCUCUUCAUUUUUAUGUCGGUGUUUCAACUGUUAGAUUGUUUUUCUAUUUAAUUUUGAUCCAUCGUUCGAUCUUACCGGUUUUGCUAAGCAGAUCAAUUUUCCGUGAUAUUUUUGUGGCGUUAGCUAUAGAAACAGAACCACAAAUUCAAUGAAUCAAACUCUAGUCUCACUGGUCUUACAAAUCAAUAGCGACUUUUAACUAACAAUCUAGCUCUAAUAGCUUUAGGCCGCGUUUGAUAGUUGUGGAUUGUGAGUUAUCCGUGAAAAAAGUAGUAAUCGAUUAAUAUAUAAUUAAUUAAUUAUUAAUAAUUAAAAAAUAUAAAAUAGAUUAAUUUGAUUUUUUUAAAACAAUUUUUCUAUAUAAAAUUUUUUAAAAAAUACACUUUUAGCAGUUCGGAAACGUGCACGCGGAAAAAGAGAGAAGUUAGAUACGCAAAAAUGAUAGUGCUUCUAUGCCGACCGCGGCCUUAGUCUUAUUGCUAUUACAAUAACGCCUUUCACUUUGAUUAAUAUUUGGUGACUUUGGAAUCACUCCGGCGAUUUCUGUAUGCCUGUAUCUACUAAUGUACAACAAACAUUAGCAGACGGGGUUUCUCACCGAUUUGUACAUAUGUUGUCUCGAGAACCAGAUUUAAUUCAGUCCGGAGUUGAGCUUACCCUGUUGUUUUUCCGUGUUCUCAAACAAUCCGUGUUAGCUGUAAAAGUAAAUAAUGCUGACAAAAAAAUGGAGCUCAGGACCAUCAAUCCCUCUAUAUGCACCAGAAAGUUAAUAUUAGAGCUCAUAUGCUACUUGGCACAUCGUGGGACGCACUAGCCAUUUGGAUACAUUGAAAACAGAGGGCGUAAAUAUAAUAGCGGGAGUAAAUACAUUGAAAACAGACGUACUAGCCAUUUGGAUACAUUGAAAAUAGCGGUAGAUAAACAACACCGAAUUUUUUAAUAUAAUAAUUAAUAGCUCAUUAAUUAAAUAUGUAGUAAAUAUAUGUUGACAAUCACCGAACUAGGAUGGACGUUGAUUAUCUUGGCGUCCAGGUGUGGAUGCUGUUCCUCGUAGCUUGCAGGUCUGGACACCUGAACAAGUAGCGUCCAGCAUCCGGGUGCAGCUACACCAGCUUGUUUACGAUGAAAGCUCUACCAUACAUUUACUUAAGCCCUGACCGAUCAUGGCGGUGUUCAAGGCAGUCUGUUGCAAAAGCUGAUUAGCAACACGGAAAACGAUAAACGUAAUUAUUAUAUAAUUAAUUAAGUAUUACUUAUUAAAAAUUUAAAAAUAGAUUUAUUUGAUCUUCUAAAAUAAUUUCUAUAUAAAACAUUUUCGCACGAAAUAUCGUUGCCUGCUCUCGCAAUCACGUUCUGGUGUGCGAGCCCUAGCUCCUUGGGGUCAUGGCGGCAUAUAGGCUUCACCCUCACCAAUCACAUUAGGCGGCGUCUCGCCAGCUGCCACUCGUCAUCAAGGCCACCACUUUCGUCUAUAGGUUAAUUAGAUUCAUGCUAUUAUAAAUUUACCAGUUUUAAAAUAUAUCAUUACAAUUCGACUAAUUGUAAGGAUGCCACUAUAAUUUUAGAACUAUUUCAAAUAUGCCAUUUUAGACCCAAAUUGCCCUUUGCACAUGUCAAGGGCACAGUAAACAUCACAUGGGCAAUAUGGUCUAAUUUUUUUAAAAAAAUACAACGAAAGAGUAUGGAGUGGCAUAUUUUUAAUAGUUCUAAAAUUAUAAUGGCAUUCUUACAAUUAGUCAAAUUGCAAUGGUAUAUUUCAAAACUAGCAAAUUUAUAAUGGCGUACAUCUAAUUAACCCUUCAUCUAUUGCCUAUGUUGAUCACCGACAGCCGUAGCAUUCAUUGUCAGGUAAUGUAUUUUCACUUCAUAUAACUUUGUUGGUUACUUUUUACUUAUCUAUCGGCUUGCAUUAUCUAACAAGUCCAAUCUAUUACUUAAUUAUUAUUAACAUAAUCAUGUCGAAUCAUAUAUAAAGCAUGUCCAUGUAAAGAUCCAAAUAAUAGAAGAAAACAUUUUUAUAUAAUAUACUUGCUUGCGCUCACAUGAACCAACAAAUAUAAGGAUCAGUACAUAGCUAGUAUUAGAUGUUAUACACCCUUGGUUUACUGAUUUUUUUUUUCAUUUGGCAUGUGCGUAGGUGAGAACAAAAUGAUCAUUGUUCUUGGCUAUGCUUAUGGGUGUAUCCAACAUGGAACUAACGGUGCAGACUACAGUAUUCCUCCUAGAUUAACUUUUCCAGCAUCCUCUUUUGUUUUAUCUCUCACCUUUUCUGCUAUUUGUUUUCUAUUGUGACUAUUCGUGUGGAGUCCAAUCGGAGAGAACGACCGCAACGGAAGCUUGACGUCAUUGCAUAUAGCGUCCAGGUCUGGACGUUUUUAUGAGUUGCGACCAUAUCUGGACGCUCUACUAUUCAGCGUACAUCCUAAUAUUGUAAAUCUACCAUGUAGUUUACUAGAUAUUUAAUUAACAGGCCAAUAAUUAUUAUAUAAAAAAAAUUCGGUAAACAGCACCUGAAAGAGAUGGUGUCAUGGCAAAAUCAAAUUGAGGCAGUAGUAGCACUCCAGCAGCAAUGGGAAUGGCUGCUAUGUUAUAUGCCACAGCUCAGGCCAGAUUUGGUGAAUUUUGGCCAUAGUUGCUUUUGAUAGAGCAUCCAUUACCCGCGCCAUAAUUUUUUAUUGUACAUAACUACUAAGGCAAAAAUCUCAUAAGAAAUAUAAUAGGAUCUAGGUCAAUUAGUUAAGUUUCUUACGGUAGAAUUUGUCCUAGAUCUUAGAUCAUCAUAUUUAUAACUAAUUACUCUUUCGAUAGUAAACCAUAUACCCAUCGACAACAAGACGCCCAUGGUGAUUUCGUCAAUAUUAACAUACGUAGGUUCAGUUUUCGAAAGUUCUCAUAGGGGUUUGUCAAUGUUAACAUACAUAGGUUUCGUUUUCGAAAGUUCUCAUAGAGGUUAUUUGUGUGAUUGUGCAUUCAUAGAGGAUGAACGUGGACGCAUCAUUAAUAUUGAUGUUAGUACAGAAUAAAUGUAGUUGGUUGGGUAUCAACAUAAGAUAUAUGUCGGAGAUAUGGGUAUGGGGGUACCCAUAAAUGGUGGAAAGUUGCCCUAAACUCGCGUGGCGUGCCCUGGAAAGGGCCUGAUGUGAGUUCUGGACAUGGGCUUUCUCCAAUGCUAGGGGUUAGGGCGUCCUAACCCCCUUCUCGCCCUGCCGACAUAGCAAGCGGGGACACACGAGUGCCCCUGUAGAAAGAUAAACAGUUCGUCACCUAGAUGUUGGCAUUCGAGGGGAAGUCAGGGCAGCCCCAUGCCCUCCCUGCAUAAGGGCUAGGCGAUCACGGCAGCCCGAUCCCCCUUGGUCUCACGCACGAGGACUAUGGCCACUCGAACCCACGCGGCGCGCCCCCGUAGGGGUUGGGCCCGAGGUUCGGCAAGGAGGCCAACCCCCAUAGAACGGGGUUGGGCCACCUGAAGCCACGUGGCACUAAGCGCGCCCCUAAGGGGGUCGGGCCCGAGGGCUUGCGGGGAGGCCAAGCGCCUUGGGAGGAAGAUUGAGCCACCCCCGCAGCACGGAGGACACACUUGUGAUGUGCCACGCGUACGACCAUGACAGGCCCCCAACGGCCAACUACUCGUAUUUAAUACGCACCAUGAAGUGAGUAAAAAACACUGUGCGCUAUGCUCACUCUCAUCAUAUCGAAGUGACGGGGGCUAUCCCGUCACUUGGACCAAGCGACACGCCUCUGCCAAAAGGCGUGGCCUGUCACCGACCAGUCAUUGUCGCAUUUAAUACCCUUGCGACUCGUGUGAGGGAAAGAGAGCUUCCUCUUUUAUCCACACGGUCCAAGGGUUCACUCUACCUACCCUCUAGCAGAUGGGACCAAACAAGACUGGUGUACAUCCGUAAAUCGCCACAGCGUCAACCAAGAGAAAUGAUGAACUACUAGCCGUAGCCAAACGAUGGUCUAUACAUCAGUAGUCGGUAAGACCAUGGCGAUUGUGGUGUCUCCUUACUGUUAUAAAAGGAGGCCCUGCCCCUCUUAGAAAAGGGAUCGAUCCGAGAAAAACCUUCCCAAAGAAGGCUUGUACUCACUUGCCAAAUAGUGACAAAGCGACAGGAGUAAGGUAUUACGCCUUCUGGCGGCAUGAACCUGUAUAAUUUCUUCUAUGUUCAUUCCUUCUCAGAGACCUUGAUCUAGCUCCCUUAGGCCAAACCAAAAAAGGGGUUCAAUGAACUCCCGCUCGAGGAGCUUGCACUCCAACAGCUGGCGCGUUAGGUAGGAGGUGCGUUGUUUGGGUUUGAAAAUCCCUCCUACUGCCGCUCGAUGGGAGCACCAAGGUCGUGCUCCCACAUGUGGCUAGGGGCUGCGCAGAAGGCGUUGCGGUCGUUGCUCAAUGGGAGCACCAGUGUCGUGCUCUCACACGUGGCCGAGGGCUGCGCAGGAGGCGCGGCCACCGUAGCUAGACGGGAGCACUGGUAGCACACUCACAUGUUGCCGCGUUGGCUUCGACACGGUAGUGCCUGCAAGAUAUCUUCCUCACCAUCACAAACUUCAUAUGACAAGUGUCUUAUUCAUUUUAUUGUCAAUUUCAUAUCAUUGCCUUUAGUUAUUGCUUUGGGAAUCUUUUCCCCUUUAUUUGCUCGCAAGUUUGUAUGUUGCUACCAGGAUACUCUUUCCCCGUCCUCGGUUGUGAGUAGGGACUAGUUAUAGCACUCGCUAGGAUGCUUGGGUUAGAUUGGCUCUGUGUGCUGAGGACAAGUGUUCGCGACGUGGAUUGUGCCUCGAAUACCACCUAAGAUCCGAGGUCUCGAGCAAACCCCCUCCAGGUCGGGGCAGCUUAGAUCUCGACGGAGGAAUAUGGUAUUCUGCCUGGCCAGUUUCAUUCCGGACACUGCCAAUGACCAGGCGCCAUGGGUCACCCACUCAUCCUCACGCAUUGCUCGAACUUGUUCCCCUCUAACCAGAGGUCGAGAAGAGCAAGCCACGUGGUGAGCCAUGCAUAACCCUUGCGAGUAAGCGUUGAGAACAUAAGCCAUAGAUGAUGUUGGGAGACGAAGGAUGGGUGCCCAAGGUGUUGAUCUUUCUUUGAGCAUCCUCGGAGCCCCAAGGUCUCGAGCAAACCCCCACUAAGUCAGGGCAGCUUAAACCCUAGUGGCCGGUGGCCUCGCUCAGAAGAUUAGACCAGUGGUACUGUCGAGGUUCCUCCUAAUGUUUAAUUAUCGGCUAAACCUGAGUUUAUUUUCAAUUCCUCAUAUAUAUUAGUCGGACCCCUUUCUUUUUACUUGAUGUGUGAACGGUUGAGCCAACCAUCAUAAUAAAAGGAUAAUGGGAUAGGUCGUGCCAUUGCACCAAAGGAUGUGUCGGGCAGCGAGCCAUGCCCUGAGCACCACCAGAUCCCGAGGUCUCGAGCAAACCCCCUCCGGGUCGGGGCAACUUAGACCUCAGUGAUGGGUUUGUGGUAUUCAGCCUUUGCACCCGUGCCUUGCCCAAAAUCACUAUAAAAAUCAUGAUAUAACUGCUCACCAAGUGACACUAAGGCGAAAAAGAGAGGUCGGACCGACACAUCUUGCGAUUCUUAUAGAGUUUGUUUUUGUUAGCAUAUGCGCAAGGUGCGAUAUGCAACAUCCGUCAGAUAUGACCCACUAAGGCAGCCCGACGGCCUGCCUAGUUUGAGGGCCAGUCGGUCGCGGUAACAAACCAAAAUGUAAGCCUCCGCCCCGACCCGCUCUGUGGCUCAGCGGUCUGACACGGAGGCGGGGGGCUACUAUCGAUGAUAUGGGUAUGGGGGUAACUAAAAAUGGUGGAAAGUUGCCUUAUCGAUAUGGGCUUACCUCAGAGAGAUCCGAAAAAUGAAUGUGAGCCGAGAAUACUAUUUUUACAGGCAAGAAGAUUAACCUUUAUUUCCAUCUUAAAAAAGUUGAAUUAAUCUACUACUGUUUACUUGCGCCCUGCGAAACCUGCAGAGAUGGGUAAACGUGACGCAAACGUUGAGCACGCCGACCGCACGAUCAAGAUCGAACGGUCAAUACUGCCCCACAACGGCAACCGUCACACGUAGAUCGGGCGGUCAGCAAGGAACCCUAGCACCCAUUCCUCCCUAUAUAAAGGGCCUUCCUCUUGCCCUAACCCCUCCACUGUCCCAGCCGCCGCCGCCGCCGCCUCCUCCUCUCGACUGCUCCCGUCCUCUCCUUCUUCGAGGUCAGCUUCUUCAGAUCUUAUCUCUUCCUCCUGUUAUUCGCCGGUGAUUUUGAGCUGGCGCAUGUUUCUUGAUAUGUAUCCAUGUGUUCGUCUCAUCCUCCGAUCUUUGUCUUGUCGAUAGACUUGAUCUGUUGCCGAAUCAUCUCCAUAUCGAAAAUUGUCGGUAGGAUUGUCGGAUAAAGUUGAUUUGUUGCGAAAUCGUCUGAAGUUGAAAUUAUAGGUAGAAUCGUGUGAAGGAUUUGCAUAUAUAAUCUGUUCGCGUAGAUCUCUUUCAAUUUCUCUGUAAUUUUUAGUCUGCUGCCGAGAGUAGAUGAUAGCUUCAUCUGUCUUAGCACUAGGACAGAUGCAAGACGCCUAACUUUUCCUGAUCUGUGAUUUUACCAUGGUAAUCUUUGUUUAUUCCUUUGUGGUGCUGCAGGCUGCUAGUUCCCUCCUUAUUCAGCCAUGGGUAAGGAGAAGACGCACAUCAACAUUGUGGUCAUUGGCCACGUCGACUCCGGCAAGUCGACCACCACAGGACACCUGAUCUACAAGCUUGGAGGCAUCGACAAGCGUGUGAUCGAGAGGUUCGAGAAGGAAGCCGCCGAGAUGAACAAGAGGUCGUUCAAGUACGCGUGGGUGCUUGACAAGCUCAAGGCCGAGCGUGAGAGAGGUAUCACCAUCGAUAUUGCCCUGUGGAAGUUCGAGACCACCAAGUACUACUGCACUGUCAUCGAUGCCCCUGGACACCGUGACUUCAUCAAGAACAUGAUCACGGGUACCUCCCAGGCUGACUGUGCCGUGCUCAUCAUCGACUCCACCACCGGUGGUUUUGAGGCUGGUAUCUCCAAGGAUGGCCAGACCCGUGAGCAUGCCCUUCUUGCUUUCACUCUUGGAGUGAAGCAGAUGAUCUGCUGCUGCAACAAGGUAUAUCUUUGGUGUUUGUCCUUUUGUUUUGAUUGAUGAGCACAACACUUGUUGAACGUAUUAAUUAUGCUGGUUCAGAUUCUUUUACUUUCAUCAUAGAACAUGACUAUAUUGUACUGAUCUCUCAUUGGGAUUUUCGUGUGACUGUGCUAACUAUGCAUUGAUUUCCUGUUACUUUAAGCACUAGUGAUUAGUGAUUAAAUAGUGCUGCAUAAAACACAACUCUUCUGCUUAAUUUGUUUAAAUUACUCAUUUAAAAUCAUAAAUCGAUUGUUUUCUAUUUAAUUUUUAUUUAAUUUUUCUGAAUAGUUAGUCUAUUUUUCUGUUUCUAUUCUACUGGAAGUAGCAGCUGCACAUUGCUGCAUUACAUCUUAUGGUCACUAUGUUUAAUUUUGUGCAUAGUAAAUGAUGUUAAUUAUCUAUUUCAAAUCAUACAUCUAUCUUGUUUGGUUGCCAACCCCUUGUUGAGAAGUAGUUGGUUUAUUCUCUUUUGUUCUGUUGCAGAUGGAUGCCACCACCCCUAAGUACUCCAAGGCCCGUUAUGAUGAAAUCGUGAAGGAAGUCUCUUCCUACCUCAAGAAGGUUGGCUACAACCCUGACAAGAUUCCUUUCGUUCCCAUCUCUGGGUUCGAGGGUGACAACAUGAUUGAGAGGUCGACCAACCUUGACUGGUACAAGGGCCCUACUUUGCUUGAGGCUCUCGACCAGAUCAAUGAGCCCAAGAGGCCUUCAGACAAGCCCCUGCGUCUUCCCCUUCAGGACGUGUACAAGAUCGGUGGUAUCGGUACCGUGCCUGUGGGUCGUGUUGAGACUGGUGUCCUGAAGCCUGGUAUGGUGGUGACCUUUGGUCCCAGCGGCCUGACCACUGAGGUCAAGUCAGUUGAGAUGCACCACGAGGCCCUCCAGGAGGCUCUUCCUGGUGAUAACGUAGGGUUCAAUGUCAAGAACGUUGCCGUGAAGGAUCUGAAGCGUGGGUACGUGGCCUCCAACUCGAAGGAUGACCCUGCCAAGGAGGCUGCCAGCUUCACCUCCCAGGUCAUCAUCAUGAAUCACCCUGGGCAGAUUGGCAACGGCUAUGCCCCAGUGCUGGACUGCCACACCUCCCACAUUGCCGUCAAGUUUGCUGAGCUUGUGACCAAGAUUGACAGACGAUCUGGCAAGGAGCUCGAGAAGGAGCCCAAGUUCCUCAAGAACGGUGAUGCUGGUAUGGUUAAGAUGAUUCCCACCAAGCCCAUGGUUGUGGAGACCUUCUCUGAGUACCCUCCUCUCGGUCGUUUUGCUGUGCGUGACAUGAGGCAAACGGUGGCUGUCGGUGUCAUCAAGAACGUCGAGAAGAAGGACCCCACCGGUGCCAAGGUGACCAAGGCUGCUGCCAAGAAGAAAUGAGCCUCAGCCUCGUUGAAGUGGUGGCUCCCCUAUCGGCAUUUGAUAUAUCUAGCUGAUUUAGUGUUCGUUAAGUUUUGUCCACGGCCGUGGCACUUGUUGCCAGGACCGUUAAUAUCUGCUCGCACUGUGCACUAUUAUGUCAGUUGUUUAAAACUCUCGUUUGUUUCUGUUCG